CCUGGCAGUUGAAGCAGAGUGUGCGAAAUUAACCACUUUGCCACUAGGCUGGCCCCUGUUUUUCCUUUGAAUGUACUGGAUCUUUGAAUUCCAGAGUGUAUUUUGUGCCUGCAGCAUCUCCAGGUUAGGAGGAGCCACAUUUCAAGUGCGCCACCGCCCAGGUCUAGAGCUGCGUCUUCCCCUCCGCGCUACAGGCUCCCUCGUGUGCCCAGACCCAAGAACGAGUGUCUGCAUCCGUACCCGCCUCCUCCACCCGUCCCGCCGCAGGCCGGGUCAGGGCCCUCCUCCUUAUGCAUGCGUACAGCAUCUUCACAGUCCAGCACAAUUAUUAUUAUUAAAUUAUUUGUUUCUAGUAGAUUGAAAGCUUCAGGGGUGCAGGGAUUUUUUUCAUACUGUGUCUUCCCGAGUGAUAAAUAUUGUUGAACAAAUGAAUGAAUAAAAAUAAGUGAAUGAGACAGUUCUUGCCCUCAAGGGCUCCUACCUCCAAAAUAUUGUGCCCAUUCAGAACGGUUGAUCUGCUAUCCUGCCUCCCUUCCUUCCCCUUUUCCUGCCUCCUACCUCCUCCUCUUCUCCCGUCCUCCCUUCCUCCACACCGCCCCUCCUCCCCUCCCCCUCCCCCCUUCAUGAGAUGUCCCUGAGUUUAGUGGGGAUCAGCUGUGAGGUAUGCUCUAAGAGAUCAGUUACUCUUAAUAAAGUCCUACAUUUUUGAAUUACAUGUAUCCCUAUGCUGUGAAAUACCUGGAAGGGCAUGUGGACAGAGGCUGUGGCCAUGAGGAACCCAGUGUUACUCACAGCUGACCAUGAACAUGCUUAAGGCUGGAGGAAGGGGCAAAAUACGCCUUCAGCCCUGGCAAGAUCAGCCUCAGGGUGGCGCUUGGCAUCUUUACCCUCGAACUUUCUCAUUCCUUCCUUUCCUGCCCACCCCUCUACCCCCAGCAUCCUCCCUCCCACGUAUCCCAUGGAGGUCCAAGGCUCUAAGACUGUUCCUGAACCCAUUCCGGAAGGGGCCAUGGUUUACCCAGGAGUGUCUAGACCAGCGCUUCUCACAUUUUAAUGUGUACACACGUCAUCCAGAGGAUCCUAGGAAAAUGCAGAUUCUGAUUUAACGGAUCUGGGAGGGGCCCGAGAGUCUGCAUUUCUGACACGCUCCCAGGUUGAUGCUGAUGCUGCUGGUCCAGGGACCACAUGUCGAGUAGCAGAGAUCUAGAAGGAGGACACGCCUUUCUUCUGCUAAUAUGGAUGGUCUCUUACAGCGAAAUGUUGGUGCAUAACUGUACUGACAGGCCUUUUCCACCAGGACUGAAGAUGAGGAGGAAGGAAAGGAGGAGACAGAGAGCCCAUCCUGCCCUGUACUUACUGAAAAAAAUACCCUCAAAGGCAACAGAGUCAGGGCUGUGUCUGAUCCAGCCACUCACAGGCGCCUGCACUCAGCUCCAUCUCCCCAGGAGAAGCAGGUGGGCUGCAGCGAGAGCUGGUGUGCUGGGGCCGCCUACACUCUUGGCCUGUCCGAGACAGGAUCUGGCCCAAGUGCGUCAGGGAGGGUAAAGGAAGUGAGAGCUGAAACAGCUUCCACUCUGGACAGGCCACUGAGGCCGACCCACGGCUCUUGAAGGUGACGGGACCUCCUGCUGGUGUUCGUGCAUGGAGAAUGAGGCCUUCACCCCAAAGACGGGAAGGGAGGGAGGAGCAAAGGAGAAUAUGGACAAAGAGGACUUCAAAGCCGCUCUGAAAAAUAGAAACUGAAGCCCCCACUCCACGCAGGCCCACUCUCCCCCUCAGAGGCCUCGCCAGCACUGAGGUCGACACCACCUGACUUCACACCCUUUUCCUCCACGCCCCAGCGUCAAGUCAAGCAGAGCCGGGCAGGAGGAGAGAAGUGAGUGCUGCUGGUUCACAGAGAGCCUCCAGAUUCCACGCUGCGGUGAUGAAUAAUGUACAAAUCCCAGAAAACAGAGCUCCGGGGAGUCUGGGCCUCUUAUCCCCUCGAUGUGAGAAAGGGGAGCAGGGCGCCUAGCCUGCUGGAUCUGCGGAGAUGCGAUGGGGCUUCCAGGGCUGGGCCAGUCUGUUAGCCAGCCAGGUGGCCUGCCAGGCUGCAUAGGCCUCCCUGAAACCAGGCCUCAGGCUGGCAAGGAUGUCCUGGACCCACAAUCUGGCCAUGAGGUGUCUGUCUCUGGCUAUCAUUAAUCCACUUCUCCCCUCCUGGCCCUCAAAAUCCCACUUUUGAAAAAAGAGAACAUUAAAAGAACAGUAAUGUCA
Equus caballus (horse) is the source of this 2256-nucleotide non-coding RNA. Lineage: Eukaryota; Metazoa; Chordata; Mammalia; Perissodactyla; Equidae. The record is from RefSeq and is a predicted model, not a curated record.